Molecule: ribosomal RNA, 253 nt
Filed under: uncultured bacterium
Lineage: Bacteria
Description: partial 16S ribosomal RNA
Rfam family: Bacterial small subunit ribosomal RNA
Source: RNAcentral
UACGUAGGGAGCAAGCGUUAUCCGGAUUUACUGGGUGUAAAGGGCGCGUAGGCGGGAUGGCAAGUCAGAUGUGAAAUCCAGGGGCUCAACCCCUGAACCGCAUUUGAAACUGUCGUUCUUGAGUACUGGAGAGGUUGACGGAAUUCCUAGUGUAGCGGUGAAAUGCGUAGAUAUUAGGAGGAACACCAGUGGCGAAGGCGGUCAACUGGACAGCAACUGACGCUGAGGCGCGAAAGCGUGGGGAGCAAACAGG